UGAAAAAGGGAGGGGAGCGGAAGAUAACAGAAGAAGAACAACAAAGACAAAGGCGACUUCAAACAACUCAGAUAUUCGAAAGGCUUAAGAACCUCAAGGACCCGGCAAAAGGACCUUGAGUUUUCAACCUGCUUGUCAACCAACAUCAAACAAGAUGGAGAAGGAUACCUCACUUAGUCUACACUCAGGAGGGCUCUACCUUUGCCAUGUCGGAGAGAAGCGGCAUCUCUGAAAUAAUUUAAGUAGCCCUUUUUUGAAAGCCCAGACAAGUUAAGAGAAUUCACAUCCAAGAUCAAAGCUGUGCUGUUGCAGUGCCA
This is a long non-coding RNA of Labeo rohita (rohu), 317 nucleotides long. RefSeq lists it as uncharacterized. The record is from RefSeq and is a predicted model, not a curated record. NCBI's taxonomy places the organism in Eukaryota, Metazoa, Chordata, Actinopteri, Cypriniformes, Cyprinidae. The transcript has 3 exons.